This 700-nucleotide ribosomal RNA is filed under the name uncultured bacterium. Its description in RNAcentral is "bacterial SSU rRNA". It matches the Rfam family "Bacterial small subunit ribosomal RNA", at positions 78 to 774 of the family's 1533-position model. The record is from RNAcentral.
UGCUGAUUCGCUGACGAGUGGCGGACGGGUGAGUAAUGUCUGGGAAACUGCCUGAUGGAGGGGGAUAACUACUGGAAACGGUAGCUAAUACCGCAUAACGUCGCAAGACCAAAGAGGGGGACCUUCGGGCCUCUUGCCAUCGGAUGUGCCCAGAUGGGAUUAGCUAGUAGGUGGGGUAACGGCUCACCUAGGCGACGAUCCCUAGCUGGUCUGAGAGGAUGACCAGCCACACUGGAACUGAGACACGGUCCAGACUCCUACGGGAGGCAGCAGUGGGGAAUAUUGCACAAUGGGCGCAAGCCUGAUGCAGCCAUGCCGCGUGUAUGAAGAAGGCCUUCGGGUUGUAAAGUACUUUCAGCGGGGAGGAAGGGAGUAAAGUUAAUACCUUUGCUCAUUGACGUUACCCGCAGAAGAAGCACCGGCUAACUCCGUGCCAGCAGCCGCGGUAAUACGGAGGGUGCAAGCGUUAAUCGGAAUUACUGGGCGUAAAGCGCACGCAGGCGGUUUGUUAAGUCAGAUGUGAAAUCCCCGGGCUCAACCUGGGAACUGCAUCUGAUACUGGCAAGCUUGAGUCUCGUAGAGGGGGGUAGAAUUCCAGGUGUAGCGGUGAAAUGCGUAGAGAUCUGGAGGAAUACCGGUGGCGAAGGCGGCCCCCUGGACGAAGACUGACGCUCAGGUGCGAAAGCGUGGGGAGCAAACA